UGCGGUCUCGCUGAGCGCAGAGUUCCCGGCCGAUAUCGCCAGCACAUCCGAUCCGUUAGGGCCGGCG
This 67-nucleotide transfer RNA is filed under the name Heterosigma akashiwo. The record is from RNAcentral. Lineage: Eukaryota; Raphidophyceae; Chattonellales; Chattonellaceae.